AGGGGCUGUCGUGGACGUGACUCCGCAACAUAGGAGAGCAACCAGGCGGGCACAGAGCCAGCGUACUAAUAGACUCUGUCAUAGGAGAAGCCCUUCCCACAGGAUCCUUCUUGAAGGCAAGAAGAAGUGAGAGAAGAAAGAGAUGAGGAAAACUGAAAUCAUCAAAGCCCAAGUCACAGAACGAAUUAAGUGUAAGUGCCAAGACGAGAACCCAAGCAGUCUGUUCUGUCUCCAUCACUUGUGCCCCCACUACCUACCCCAGCCUGUGCAACUAGAUAAGCCACUUAGCCUCGCUGGGCAUCCGUUUCUUCAUCUUUAAAGUGCGGCUGGGAAGUCCCGCCUUAACUGCCCUCUGCCAGGGUGUGUGGGGCGUCAGUGGAAGAGGAUUAAGAAUGUCCAAAAAGCAGGACACACACUGUGCAUCUAAUGAUUGUCCCUGGGGUGACUUCGUGUUGCUGGGCCAUCGACAACAGGGGUGAAGGGAGAGUGGGGAGGGGAAGGAAGUGAAGUAUCUGAUGCCAGGACAGACACAAAGCGCCAAUAACUGAAUUAAACCCAUUUGCUUGUUGACCCAUC
Molecule: non-coding RNA, 576 nt
Organism: Oryctolagus cuniculus (rabbit)
Lineage: Eukaryota; Metazoa; Chordata; Mammalia; Lagomorpha; Leporidae
Source: RefSeq, a predicted model, not a curated record